Molecule: ribosomal RNA, 492 nt
Filed under: uncultured bacterium
Lineage: Bacteria
Description: partial 16S ribosomal RNA
Rfam family: Bacterial small subunit ribosomal RNA
Source: RNAcentral
AGUGAACGCUGGCGGUAGGCCUAACACAUGCAAGUCGAACGGCAGCACAGUAAGAGCUUGCUCUUACGGGUGGCGAGUGGCGGACGGGUGAGGAAUACAUCGGAAUCUACUUUUUCGUGGGGGAUAACGUAGGGAAACUUACGCUAAUACCGCAUACGACCUACGGGUGAAAGCAGGGGAUCUUCGGACCUUGCGCGAUUGAAUGAGCCGAUGUCGGAUUAGCUAGUUGGCGGGGUAAAGGCCCACCAAGGCGACGAUCCGUAGCUGGUCUGAGAGGAUGGUCAGCCACACGGGAACUGAGACACGGUCCAGACUCCUACGGGAGGCAGCAGUGGGGAAUAUUGGACAAUGGGGGCAAGCCUGAUCCAGCCAUACCGCGUGGGUGAAGAAGGCCUUCGGGUUGUAAAGCCCUUUUGUUGGGAAAGAAAAGCAGCAGGUUAAUACCCCGCUGUUCUGACGGUACCCAAAGAAUAAGCACCGGCUAACUUCGUG